UAACGCGAAGAACCUUACCAAGGCUUGACAUACACCGGAAACUGGCAGAGAUGUCAGCCCCCUUGUGGUCGGUGUACAGGUGGUGCAUGGCUGUCGUCAGCUCGUGUCGUGAGAUGUUGGGUUAAGUCCCGCAACGAGCGCAACCCUCGUUCCAUGUUGCCAGCGCGUUAUGGCGGGGACUCAUAGGAGACUGCCGGGGUCAACUCGGAGGAAGGUGGGGAUGACGUCAAGUCAUCAUGCCCCUUAUGUCCAGGGCUUCACGCAUGCUACAAUGGCCGGUACAAAGGGCUGCGAAACCGCAAGGUGGAGCGAAUCCCAAAAAGCCGGUCUCAGUUCGGAUUGGGGUCUGCAACUCGACCCCAUGAAGUCGGAGUCGCUAGUAAUCGCAGAUCAGCAACGCUGCGGUGAAUACGUUCCCGGGUCUUGUACACACCGA
RNAcentral lists this ribosomal RNA (436 nucleotides) under uncultured bacterium. Its description in RNAcentral is "bacterial SSU rRNA". It matches the Rfam family "Bacterial small subunit ribosomal RNA", at positions 957 to 1393 of the family's 1533-position model. The record is from RNAcentral.